GAUGAACGCUGGCGGCGUGCUUAAUACAUGCAAGUCGAGCGAACAGAUGAGGAGCUUGCUCCUCUGACGUUAGCGGCGGACGGGUGAGUAACACGUGGAUAACCUACCUAUCAGACUGGGAUAACUUCGGGAAACCGGAGCUAAUACCGGAUAAUAUAUUGAACCGCAUGGUUCAAUAGUGAAAGACGGUUUUGCUGUCACUUAUAGAUGGAUCCGCGCCGCAUUAGCUAGUUGGUACGGUAACGGCUUACCAAGGCAACGAUGCGUAGCCGACCUGAGAGAGUGAUCGCCCACACUAGAACUGAGACAGCGUCCAGACUCCUGAGGGACGCCGCAGUACGGAAUCUUCCGCAAUGGGCGAAAACCUGACGGAGCGACGCCACGUGAGUGAUAAAGGUCUUCGGAUCGUAAAACUCUGGUAUGAGGGAAAAACAAAUGUGUAAGUAACUAUGCACGUCUUGACGGUACCUAAGCAGAAAGCCACGGCUAACUACGUG
This 497-nucleotide ribosomal RNA is filed under the name uncultured bacterium. RNAcentral describes it as "partial 16S ribosomal RNA". It matches the Rfam family "Bacterial small subunit ribosomal RNA", at positions 28 to 507 of the family's 1533-position model. The record is from RNAcentral.